UGGGGAAUUUUGGGCAAUGGCCGCAAGGCUGACCCAGCGACGCCGCGUGCGGGAGGACGCCCCUCGGGGUGUAAACCGCUGUCAGGGGGGACGAACCCCGGGGAUCUGAACAGGGUUCCCGGCUGACGGUACCUCCAGAGGAAGCGCCGGCUAACUCCGUGCCAGCAGCCGCGGUAAGACGGAGGGCGCGAGCGUUGUUCGGAAUUACUGGGCGUAAAGCGCGCGCAGGCGGAUCUUCAAGUCGGGAGUGAAAUACCGGGGCUCAACUCCGGGGCGGCUUCCGAGACUGAGGGUCUGGGGACCGGUAGAGGCCGGUGGAAUUCCCGGUGUAGCGGUGGAAUGCGUAGAGAUCGGGAAGAACACCCGUGGCGAAGGCGGCCGGCUGGGCCGGAUCCGACGCUGAGGCGCGAAAGCGUGGGGAGCAAACAGG
This 430-nucleotide ribosomal RNA is filed under the name uncultured bacterium. Its description in RNAcentral is "bacterial SSU rRNA". It matches the Rfam family "Bacterial small subunit ribosomal RNA", at positions 355 to 776 of the family's 1533-position model. The record is from RNAcentral.